AGCAAAUGACUGUGCUAUAUCCAUAGUCUUCACAACAAACAAAGGUUUCCAGAAUCCAUUUUAGAGAUGGAAUAGGUAAGAGUCAGUAAGCUCAAGUUGACUUGUGCUAGGACACAGAUGCCUUCACAUCUUUGUCUGCCACUGCCUUCUCCCAGUUCUUUUGUGGAGAGAGGCCGUUGUAGAUAAAUUCCUACCAAGCUUAGAGCCCAGAGGUGGGUGCUCUGAAAAAGGACCAUUUGCCCUGACUGUCCUGCCCGGGCUCACAGCCCGUUCUCAUCUUAGUCAAGCAGGGUUCGAAACCAGGCAAAGCUGCUUAGGAGAGAGCAGCAUGGGCCAGGAAAAUCUGCUGGAUUGUAGAGCCCAGCAGUGGGUAGGUAGGUACAUCUGAGAGCCUGCCUGGCUGAUCUCAAUCCCGCCACCCUCUUCUCCAUGCCUUUCCUGGCCCCUACAGAAACAGCAGCACCAUGGACUUGACACUCUUCGCAGCUGAGGCCAUUGCCCUCAACCGCCAGCUGUCUCAGCAUGAAGAGAAUGAACUGGCUGAGGAACACGAGGCCCUAGCCGAGGGCCUCUGCUCCAUGAAGCUGUCCCCUCCAUCCAAAUCUCGCCUGGCACGAAGGCGAGCCCUGGCCCACGCUGGCCGAGAAGCAAACUCUUGUUCCACACCCGCAGGGCUCUGAACUGAUAUGCAGGCACACCUUGUCGGUGCCCCCUGACAACCUACGAGGUCAAAGUGUGAAGCUAGCCGAGGGACCUGCCCUGCAGCCCCAGCAGGCCUUUACCAUCCACAAAGGCUCCUGGGUUCCCACCCAUCCCCCAUUUCCCUUGGGUCCUCAAAGGAAAAAGCUUUUUCCAAAGGGGUUGUCUUUGAAAAGGAAGGCAAUCACUUGUCACUUUGCAUAAUAGCCUGCAGCAGGAACAUCUCUCUGCCCGGCUCCAACUGCUCCCAGUGUGCAGAUCCCGGAUCCAGCUUUUGGUGGGGGCUGCUGGGGCUGCAGCCUUCAGGGAGCCGGCUUCCAGGAGCUGACAGAAGCUGACAGACACGCCUCUUCUCCCCUGCACUGUCACCUUCUCCCACCUUCCUCUGUCCUACAGACGUCCUCUCUGCCUGUCUUCUCCCCGGCUGAGCAAAGCCAUCCCCUCAAUUCAGGAAGGGCAGGGAACCAACCAGAUCAGUCUUCCAGUCUGUAGCACGGAGAAGCACAUAAUCUUUCUUUGCCUUGACCGAGAUGUCUUCCUCAUUUAUCAUCCUCUUCCGUGUUUCGGAUUGUUGCUAAAGUCAGUAUUAUUCCUUUUUAAAAAUGCGUUUGCUUUAUUUUUAACCAUGUUCUUCCAGCAACCAUAGAACUUCAAACUCGCACUGUGAGCCCAUGGACUUCCCCAGGCAGAUGCCCAUGCACUUGGGUUUUAAUCCUCCUCCCCACUGUCUCCAACUUUAAAGACCGGUGCCUUCGCAUCUUUGUCUGCCACUGCCUUCUCCCAGGUCUUUUGUGGAGAGAGGCACAAACCCAGGGCAGUCAGACUGCUGUGUCCGAGAUGAAGCCCUGCUGCCCUGCUCUGAGAAAUGCUGUGCCCACUGCCCCCAGACAUGAAGGCACAGCCACUGUCAGAUAAGCUGUGGGGUCACAUAAAACAGAUUUGCACAUGUGACAUACGUUAGUCAACCACGACCACCCAAAUUCUCUCAUAACUUGUGCUUAUUUUAAUAAAUAAUUUAAAAUUUU
RNAcentral lists this long non-coding RNA (1724 nucleotides) under Rattus norvegicus (Norway rat). RNAcentral describes it as "long non-coding RNA NONRATT022516". Lineage: Eukaryota; Metazoa; Chordata; Mammalia; Rodentia; Muridae. The record is from RNAcentral.